RNAcentral lists this long non-coding RNA (529 nucleotides) under Homo sapiens (human). RNAcentral's name for it is "HSALNT0177091". Lineage: Eukaryota; Metazoa; Chordata; Mammalia; Primates; Hominidae. The record is from RNAcentral.
AGAGCACUGCUGCGGCCGCCGCCAUUUUAGCGUUUUGUCAGAAGCGUCCGCGCCGCGAGGAGGAGGCCCUGCUGGUUUCUGUGCGGGUGGGAUGUGUGUGGGCUGAAAUUCCGAGCUGCGGUUGUGCAUGAGAAUACACCCUUCGUGGUACCCCAUCUCCGGGACGUUCUCGGCUCUGUGCGUUCAGUCCCUCAGGAACCGUGGACCUUAAUUUACCUUGCUAAGUUCAGACCUUCUCUUCCUUUCCUUUCCUUUCCUCUCCUGCCCAUUUUCCUGUUCUUCUGUCCUUCAAUACUUCUGUAGCUUCCCAUUCAUGUUCUCUUCUCCCAGCAGGCCUCAUUGUGUGCAGAAACUGUGGUGGGGGCUGUGCUGUCUCCUCCCUGCCUCCUGCCUCCUGCGGCUGUUGGAUUUGGGAAUGACCUUGGUGAGAGUCUCACUGCUCCAGGGUCUCUUUUUGGUCCAAAGGCUAGACCUAUAGAGUUGGAUCACUUUUUUUCUUUCCGGUGAAAUAAAUGGUUUUUCAACUUAG